This 467-nucleotide ribosomal RNA is filed under the name uncultured bacterium. RNAcentral describes it as "partial 16S ribosomal RNA". It matches the Rfam family "Bacterial small subunit ribosomal RNA", at positions 28 to 506 of the family's 1533-position model. The record is from RNAcentral.
GACGAACGCUGGCGGCGUGCUUAACACAUGCAAGUCGAACGGAAAGGCCCUGCUUUUGUGGGGUGCUCGAGUGGCGAACGGGUGAGUAACACGUGAGUAACCUGCCCUUGACUUUGGGAUAACUUCAGGAAACUGGGGCUAAUACCGGAUAGGAGCUCCUGCUGCAUGGUGGGGGUUGGAAAGUUUCGGCGGUUGGGGAUGGACUCGCGGCUUAUCAGCUUGUUGGUGGGGUAGUGGCUUACCAAGGCUUUGACGGGUAGCCGGCCUGAGAGGGUGACCGGCCACAUUGGGACUGAGAUACGGCCCAGACUCCUACGGGAGGCAGCAGUGGGGAAUAUUGCACAAUGGGCGGAAGCCUGAUGCAGCAACGCUGCGUGCGGGAUGACGGCCUUCGGGUUGUAAACCGCUUUCGCCUGUGACGAAGCGUGAGGGACGGUAAUGGGUAAAGAAGCACCGGCUAACUACGU